RNAcentral lists this ribosomal RNA (143 nucleotides) under uncultured eukaryote. RNAcentral describes it as "partial small subunit ribosomal RNA". The record is from RNAcentral.
GUACACACCGCCCGUCACACCAUGGGAGUGGGUUGCUCCAGAAGUAGCUAGUCUAACCUUCGGGRGGACGGUUACCACGGAGUGAUUCAUGACUGGGGUGAAGUCGUAACAAGGUAGCCGUAGGUGAACCUGCAGAAGGAUCA